Molecule: ribosomal RNA, 462 nt
Filed under: uncultured bacterium
Lineage: Bacteria
Description: partial 16S ribosomal RNA
Rfam family: Bacterial small subunit ribosomal RNA
Source: RNAcentral
GACGAACGCUGGCGGCGUGCUUAACACAUGCCAGUCGAACGGAAAGGCCCUUCGGGGUACUCGAGUGGCGAACGGGUGCGUAACACGUGGGUGAUCUGCCCUGCACUUUGGGAUAAGCCUGGGAAACUGGGUCUAAUACCGAAUAGGACCACGCGCUUCAUGGUGUGUGGGGGAAAGCUUUUGCGGUGUGGGAUGGGCCCGCGGCCUAUCAGCUUGUUGGUGGGGUAAUGGCCUACCAAGGCGACGACGGGUAGCCGGCCUGAGAGGGUGACCGGCCACACUGGGACUGAGAUACGGCCCAGACUCCUACGGGAGGCAGCAGUGGGGAAUAUUGCACAAUGGGCGCAAGCCUGAUGCAGCGACGCCGCGUGAGGGAUGACGGCCUUCGGGUUGUAAACCUCUUUCGAUUGGGACGAAGCGCAAGUGACGGUACCUAGAGAAGAAGCACCGGCCAACUACGUG